Molecule: ribosomal RNA, 253 nt
Filed under: uncultured bacterium
Lineage: Bacteria
Description: partial 16S ribosomal RNA
Rfam family: Bacterial small subunit ribosomal RNA
Source: RNAcentral
UACGAGGGGGGCGAGCGUUGUUCGGAAUUAUUGGGCGUAAAGGGUGCGUAGGCGGUUCCGCAAGUCCUGUGUGAAAUCUUCGGGCUCAACUCGAAGUCUGCACGGGAAACUGCGGGGCUUGAGUGUGGGAGAGGUGAGUGGAAUUCCCGGUGUAGCGGUGAAAUGCGUAGAUAUCGGAAGGAACACCUGUGGCGAAAGCGGCUCACUGGACCAUUACUGACGCUGAGGCACGAAAGCUAGGGGAGCAAACAGG